ACUAGAGGAUCGGAGAGGAGAUUGGAAUUCUCAGUGUAGCAGUGAAAUGCGUAGAUAUUGAGAGGAACACCAGUUGCGAAGGCGGAUCUCUGGACGAUUCCUGACGCUGAGGCACGAAAGCUGGGGGAGCGAAGAGGAUUAGAUACCCUCGUAGUCCCAGCCGUAAACGGUGCUCACUUGCUGUGGGCGGAUUCGACCCCGUCCGUGGCGAAGCUAACGCGUUAAGUGAGCCGCCUGGGGAGUACGGUCGCAAGAUUAAAACUCAAAGAAAUUGACGGGGGCCUGCACAAGCGGUGGAGUAUGUGGCUUAAUUCGAUGCAACGCGAAGAACCUUACCUGGCCUUGACAUGUAGUGGACUGGGUGCGAAAUCACCCUUUUCUUCGGAACUGCUACACAGGUGCUGCAUGGCUGUCGUCAGCUCGUGUCGUGAGAUGUUGGGUUAAGUCCCGUAACGAGCGCAACCCCGUGUCCUGUUGCCACCCGGAUGAGAAUCCGGAGCACUCUGGACAGACUGCCUGGUUUCAACCAGGAGGAAGGUGGGGAUGACGUCAAGUCAGUAUGGCCCUUACGGCCAGGGCUGCACACGUACUACAAUGCCUAGUACAAUGGGAAGCGAGACCGCGAGGUGGAGCAAAUCCCCAAAACUAGGCUCAGUUCAGAUUGUAGGCUGCAACUCGCCUACAUGAAGGAGGAAUCGCUAGUAAUGCCGUAUCAGCUACGACGGCGUGAAUACGUUCCCAGGCCUUGUACACACCGCCCGUCACAUCAUGAAAGUUGAUUGUACCCGAAGUCGCUGAGUUAACCGUAAGGAGACAAGUGCCGAAGGUAUGGUUGGUAAUUGGGAUGAAGUCGUAACAAGGUAGCCGUAGGGGAACCUGUGGCUG
This 885-nucleotide ribosomal RNA is filed under the name marine metagenome. RNAcentral describes it as "bacterial SSU rRNA". It matches the Rfam family "Bacterial small subunit ribosomal RNA", at positions 640 to 1520 of the family's 1533-position model. The record is from RNAcentral.